UUUUUUUCUGACACUAUAAUAACUCUUUAAAAAAUUGAUAAUCUGGAUACAAUAGUAUAGCCCCUUCCCCUUUCGUUGAACUACGCAAGCGCACAAAAUUGUACUAUCCAUUACACGAAUAGAACAGACAUCCAUAGGUCAUACUACCAUUUUACACGGAUAUUGUGAUAUAGUUUGUGUCAUAUCUUACAUAUCUGACUGCAAAUCGAUAUAAACAAAAAUCACAGCUUCACUUAAAGAAACAACUUCUUCAAAAAAAAA
RNAcentral lists this long non-coding RNA (261 nucleotides) under Mytilus galloprovincialis (Mediterranean mussel). Lineage: Eukaryota; Metazoa; Mollusca; Bivalvia; Mytilida; Mytilidae. The record is from RNAcentral.